RNAcentral lists this ribosomal RNA (568 nucleotides) under Fusarium sp. RL207. Its description in RNAcentral is "eukaryotic LSU rRNA". The stretch from base 176 to 329 matches the Rfam family "5.8S ribosomal RNA". The record is from RNAcentral. Lineage: Eukaryota; Fungi; Ascomycota; Sordariomycetes; Hypocreales; Nectriaceae.
CCCUUGCGACUGCGGAGGGACAUUACCGAGUUUACAACUCCCAAACCCCUGUGACAUACCUUAAUGUUUCCUCGGCGGAUCACCCCGCGCCCCGUAAAACGGGACGGCCCGCCAGAGGACCCAAACUCUAAUGUUUCUUAUUGUAACUUCUGAGUAAUACAAACAAAUAAAUCAAAACUUUCAACAACGGAUCUCUUGGUUCUGGAAUCCAUGAAUAAGGCAUCAAAAUGCAAUAAGUAAUGUGAAUUGCAGAAUUCAGUGAAUCAUCGAAUCUUUGAACGCACAUUGCGCCCGCUGGUAUUCCGGCGGUUGUGCCUGUUCAAGCGUCAUUUGAACCCUCAAGCCUCCGGGUUUGGUGUUGGGGAUGGGGUCUGCCCUUCUGGGCGGUGCCUCCCCCGAAAUACAUUGGCGGUCUCGCUGCAGCCUCCCUUGCGUAUUAGCUAACACCUCGCAACUGGAAUGCGGAUCGGCCAUGCCCUAAAACCCCAUCUUCUGAAUGUUGACCUCGUAUCAUGUAAGAAUACCCGCUGAACUUAUGAAUAUCAAAAAUUGGAUGAAAAGGGAGAAA